GAUGAACGCUGGCGGCGUGCCUAAUACAUGCAAGUCGAGCGAACGGACGAGAAGCUUUCUUCUCUGAUGUUAGCGGCUGACGGGUGAGUAACACGUGGAUAACCUACCUAUAAGACUGGGAUAACUUCGUGAAACCGGAGCUAAUACCGGAUAAUAUUUUGAACCGCAUGGUUCAAAAGUUAAAGACGGUCUUGCUGUCACUUAUAGAUGGAUCCGCGCUGCAUUAGCUAGUUGGUAAGGUAACGGCUUACCAAGGCAACGAUGCAUAGCCGACCUGAGAGGGUGAUCGGCCACACUGGAACUGAGACACGGUCCAGACUCCUACGGGAGGCAGCAGUAGGGAAUCUUCCGCAAUGGGCGAAAGCCUGACGGAGCAACGCCGCGUGAGUGAUGAAGGUCUUCGGAUCGUAAAACUCUGUUAUUAGGGAAGAACAUAUGUGUAAGUAACUGUGCACAUCUUGACGGUACCUAAUCAGAAAGCCACGGCUAACUACGUG
This 497-nucleotide ribosomal RNA is filed under the name uncultured bacterium. Its description in RNAcentral is "partial 16S ribosomal RNA". It matches the Rfam family "Bacterial small subunit ribosomal RNA", at positions 28 to 507 of the family's 1533-position model. The record is from RNAcentral.